Molecule: transfer RNA, 125 nt
Filed under: Chondromyces crocatus
Lineage: Bacteria; Pseudomonadati; Myxococcota; Polyangiales; Polyangiaceae
Rfam family: tRNA
About the family: Transfer RNA (tRNA) molecules are approximately 80 nucleotides in length. Their secondary structure includes four short double-helical elements and three loops (D, anti-codon, and T loops). Further hydrogen bonds mediate the characteristic L-shaped molecular structure. tRNAs have two regions of fundamental functional importance: the anti-codon, which is responsible for specific mRNA codon recognition, and the 3' end, to which the tRNAs corresponding amino acid is attached (by aminoacyl-tRNA synthetases). tRNAs cope with the degeneracy of the genetic code in two manners: having more than one tRNA (with a specific anti-codon) for a particular amino acid; and 'wobble' base-pairing, i.e. permitting non-standard base-pairing at the 3rd anti-codon position.
Source: Rfam by way of RNAcentral
GCCGCUGUAGCUCAGUCUGGUAGAGCACCUGAACCCGUCUUCGAACAAAUCGCCCGAUCCGGGCCGGAUGAGGACGGUUAUCGUUUCCCACGAGGUGGUCGCGGGUUCGACUCCCGCCGGUGGCU